AACGAACGCUGGCGGCAUGCCUAACACAUGCAAGUCGAACGAGACCUUCGGGUCUAGUGGCGCACGGGUGCGUAACGCGUGGGAACCUGCCCUUAGGUUCGGAAUAACUCCCCGAAAGGGGUGCUAAUACCGGAUAAUGUCUUCGGACCAAAGAUUUAUCGCCUUUGGAUGGGCCCGCGUUGGAUUAGCUAGUUGGUAGGGUAAAAGCCUACCAAGGCGACGAUGCAUAGCUGGUCUGAGAGGAUGAUCAGCCACACUGGGACUGAGACACGGCCCAGAAUCCUACGGGAGGCAGGAGUGGGGAAUAGUGGAAAAUGGGGGAAAGCCUGAUACAGCAAGGACGGGUGAGUGAUGAAGGCCUUAGGGUUGUAAAGCUCUUUUAAACGGGAUGAUAAUGACAGUACCGGGAGAAUAAGCUCCGGCUAACUCCGUG
This 433-nucleotide ribosomal RNA is filed under the name uncultured bacterium. RNAcentral's name for it is "partial 16S ribosomal RNA". It matches the Rfam family "Bacterial small subunit ribosomal RNA", at positions 29 to 507 of the family's 1533-position model. The record is from RNAcentral.